RNAcentral lists this transfer RNA (88 nucleotides) under Inonotus obliquus. Its description in RNAcentral is "tRNA-Ser". It matches the Rfam family "tRNA". Rfam says of the family: Transfer RNA (tRNA) molecules are approximately 80 nucleotides in length. Their secondary structure includes four short double-helical elements and three loops (D, anti-codon, and T loops). Lineage: Eukaryota; Fungi; Basidiomycota; Agaricomycetes; Hymenochaetales; Hymenochaetaceae. The record is from RNAcentral.
GGGUAUUUGGUCGAGUCUGGUUUAUGGCACUCGUCUUGAAAACGAGAACUUCUGUUAGAAGUCGUGAGUUCAAAUCUCACAGUGCCCG